Molecule: long non-coding RNA, 429 nt
Organism: Xenia sp. Carnegie-2017
Lineage: Eukaryota; Metazoa; Cnidaria; Anthozoa; Malacalcyonacea; Xeniidae
Exons: 3
Source: RefSeq, a predicted model, not a curated record
GAUCGAUAUUUUUUAAGAAGUAAAAAGGAAGUUUAUGUUAUUGUUUUAACACUAUGCCAGCUCUGUGCAGCAGCAGCCAAGAAAACGUGUGAACCUCAGGAAGAUGUUAUGUCCAUAUACAGUGACAAAUUUGACGAAGCCCCCCCUCAAGGCUUCGGACCAUAUUUCAUCAAAAUACACCGCUGUGCAGAAUAUUCACAAACUCACUAUCCGUCGAAACCAGUGAGAUGGCAAAAGAUAGGCAUCGUACUGAGAGACUCACUGAUGUUUAAAUAUUACGAAUACAUUUUACAUAAUCACACCAAGUGUAAAUGCUCCACCAAUUUAACAGUCUUUCAAUACAACAGAGAAAGGCGUGUAGCUGUGAAUGUGAUGUUAGGGUGCUCUCGGUUCAGAUAGUCAAGAAAGAGAGGGACGUGAUCGGAGGGA